ACUUGAAUAGUUUAAAAAAAAUGUAAGCUUGUGGCGCUUGAGAUGUAAUUUUACUUUAAGUA
RNAcentral lists this transfer RNA (62 nucleotides) under Pinnaxodes major. RNAcentral describes it as "tRNA-His". Lineage: Eukaryota; Metazoa; Arthropoda; Malacostraca; Decapoda; Pinnotheridae. The record is from RNAcentral.